CGCAUGACAGCGGGAAGCAAAGAGAGGGAUGCACACCGCUGACUCAAGCUAAGAUGCUGCUCACAUCUGUCAGCACUAAGUGAACAGCAGCCACUCUCUCAGCAUCGCUUGCCUACUUCCUGCUGUGAGGUCAAAGGCACAAAUUAACAGCGCGCACGCACGUCCUUAGCAUCCAAGUCCACAUCCCGGCCCUCUGGCUGUCCUUAUGAGCAAGAUCGUUUUGCCAUUUUGGAAUGUGACUCUGUGUCGCUGAGAUGCUCCUACCAAGCCUCUCGUUUCUGAUUUUCCACGGCCUUAAAGCCGCCAUCUGGUGCAAGGCUGGGAAGGACACUGGGAGAUCCCUGUGCAGCCUCUGGCCUCAGGCCUGCCCCCCAGGGCCGAGAGAAACAAUUUCAUCUCAGUCAGAGCUUUCCUCCCAUCUUCGGAGGCUUGGCCUUUUGCAUAGGUCUGGCUCUCCCUCCAGGGAGUCUAUUCCGUGCUGAUGGACGGUCACCGCUGGAACACUCUGAAAGGUUUGAACUAUCGAAAAGAUUUUGUGUUUCAGACCAACCUUGCUUUGUAAAUCAUCCUGGUAUCUCCAGUCUAAAUACCAACAGUGGGGACAGCUUGUGAUUAACCUCUCCCCUCCAAGAAGCAACCAGCAACAAUGAUUCUUCCUUCAAGAACAAUGUAACCAGUUUUUAAUAAAGCCAAAAGAUUCCUGCCCAG
Molecule: long non-coding RNA, 708 nt
Filed under: Rattus norvegicus (Norway rat)
Lineage: Eukaryota; Metazoa; Chordata; Mammalia; Rodentia; Muridae
Description: long non-coding RNA NONRATT009113
Source: RNAcentral